GAUGAACGCUGGCGGCGUGCCUAAUACAUGCAAGUCGAGCGAACGGACGAGAAGCUUGCUUCUCUGAUGUUAGCGGCGGACGGGUGAGUAACACGUGGAUAACCUACCUAUAAGACUGGGAUAACUUCGGGAAACCGUAGCUAAUACCGGAUAAUAUUUUGAACCGCAUGGUUCAAAAGUGAAAGACGGUCUUGCUGUCACUUAUAGAUGGAUCCGCGCUGCAUUAGCUAGUUGGUAAGGUAACGGCUUACCAAGGCAACGAUGCAUAGCCGACCUGAGAGGGUGAUCGGCCACACUGGAACUGAGGCACGGUCCAGACUCCUACGGGAGGCAGCAGUAGGGAAUCUUCCGCAAUGGGCGAAAGCCUGACGGAGCAACGCCGCGUGAGUGAUGAAGGUCUUCGGAUCGUAAAACUCUGUUAUUAGGGGAGAACAUAUGUGUAAGUAACUGUGCACAUCUUGACGGUACCUAAUCAGAAAGCCACGGCUAACUACGUG
This 497-nucleotide ribosomal RNA is filed under the name uncultured bacterium. Its description in RNAcentral is "partial 16S ribosomal RNA". It matches the Rfam family "Bacterial small subunit ribosomal RNA", at positions 28 to 507 of the family's 1533-position model. The record is from RNAcentral.